GUCCACUAUCAUUCCUGUGCCCAAGAAAACAAGACCAGCCUGGCUGAAUGACUGCAGCCCAUUUUUCUGCAUGACA
Long non-coding RNA from Etheostoma spectabile (orangethroat darter), 76 nucleotides. RefSeq lists it as uncharacterized. The record is from RefSeq and is a predicted model, not a curated record. Lineage: Eukaryota; Metazoa; Chordata; Actinopteri; Perciformes; Percidae. The transcript has 3 exons.